Molecule: long non-coding RNA, 2020 nt
Organism: Mugil cephalus (flathead mullet)
Lineage: Eukaryota; Metazoa; Chordata; Actinopteri; Mugiliformes; Mugilidae
Exons: 2
Source: RefSeq, a predicted model, not a curated record
CAACGUCAUGCGGCCGGGCACGUCCGCGGGCACGCCGCUGGUGCACGCCUGGUGCACCGAGCGAUUUGAGAGGGAGGCGAUAAGAGCAAUGGCGAAAAUAAAAGGGAUGUAGCGAGGCCUAGUAAUUGGAAAUUUCUAAUUUAUCUUUGUGCAAUCGUCCACCGCCCCAAGGGUUCAAGGUAAACAUGGAUGGUCAACAAUCUCCAGAGGGAGCUCGCUGGUUGGCUCUCAUCGUUGGUUUUCUGGGGUCUCCUAGACUAGUCCAGGAUGAUUUUGUUUGGCUAAGUUGUGAAGCCGUUUUUACACCUACUACUGCUUAAGGCUUGUUUGUGGCCACGCUGGGCUAGUCUCACACAAAAAGGCCGACGGCUUCAAAACCCCGACCUAUUUCGUGCCAGCCGGAUUACCAGUCGAUCCGCCCGGAAGUACGCCUGCCAUUAGAUGCAAUUUUAGGUUCAGCGUCUUGCGAAAGGCCCCCCUUUAGCACAGACGUCCGUUGGCCAGGAAUUCAACCACCAACUCACCAACCCUGCUAUUAGCGGACAAGCCUCUCCAGCACCUGAGCCGUCGCCGUCCGCUCGGUGCGUUCAUGUGGUGAAUGUGGAAACAACCUGGACGCUUCAGCAACAACAAAGAUUUUCUUUCUCUUUCCGUUUGAUUCUUGGAAGUGUCCCCUAGUAUUUGCGCGACAACAAAUGAAACCUGACACGUGUGUGACAAACGUUUUAUUUGUGCUCCAGAAGGUCUCCGGGCAAGUCUCUUUGGGCAAGUUGAAAGAGGUUCAAAUUCAGGACUUUCUUGCUGUGAGGCAAUAGUGCCAACCAGAUCACUAAUCAACCCUUCUGGAAGAUGCUCGCUUGCCAUUGGAGGCAACUUAAGGUUCAGUACGAAAGGAAACUUUUGCCAGGGACAAUAUCAACAACUCGGCAAGUUCCCAGUCUAGAACCAAUUUUGCCAAUUCCUCCAACUCAGAAUGAAUGAAAGUAAAUUCAGAGUGAGACCACAUGGACUCAUCUACCUUAGACCACCAGCUUAUCAGCCUCCAUGUUUGUUUACAGUUCUGCAGUUAGUACGUGAGAGGUCUCUGGCUAAGUGGCGUGUUGUCAACACUUCUCAGUGGGAAUCUCUACUCGCCAAGUGCUUGGAAUACUGUCCUGGAAAUCCUCCUCUUCUCGUGUAUCACAACACCGCGUGUGUUUUUACUGCCAGCUAAAUAUAAACUCUCUGAACCUGGCCCUCGCCGCUAUAAAGCCACCUAAUGAAAUCUUCGGAGGAUUUUUCAACCCCGACAGCAGUUUACACGCAGUCGUUUGAGGUGUUUUUUGUAGUAACUAUUACUAUGAUUAGUGGCUGUCCAAACAGGCCGCUUGUAAAACUAAGUGACACUUAAAAGAGAGAAACAAGUGGAAGUAAGGGGGCUUAAACCUGUCAUUUAGAGUCCGUGGGAGCUGGAAAAGACCAAAAGGCUUUAAAGGUUGUGAGGAAACAACAGGUCAUCUGAAAUAUCAUAACUCCCACAUGUCAGUCGUUCAUUUGUACUGAAAAUGUUGCAGCAUUCAAUAGGUUUCAAAUCCUUGUCUGUGGCACCUUUCACAUUUGAAGACCACCGCACAAAAACACAACCACCAUUAUUUCCAGAAUAUAAUGGUUUAUUACCCAGAAUGGACUCAAAGUGCCUAAUGCAAUUCAAUGCUAACAUCACCUUCAAAAUAAAGCAAAAUGCAGAGAUCUGGAACGUCACUCGACUCUUGUGUCUUAAUGUAUUAAUGUAAUAGUUCAUUUUGUUAUCAUAGCUUAGCUCAAAUAGUGGAACCAAGGAGAAGUUGCUUGUGUCAUCUUACGCAACUGUAUCACCUACCAGCCCCUUUUAAAUUUCACAAAUGGACCUUUAGAUUUCCUGGAAGUUUGUGCUUUCAUUCUCUGCAUAGUUACUAUUUCGUGGCUUGGACCAGUUACCAGUGAAUCACUGGAGGCAAAUAAAUGUGAUGUAAUGUCUUUAAUAAACAAGAAUUAAGCACGA